AGAGUUUGAUUCUGGCUCAGGAUGAACGCUAGCUACAGGCUUAACACAUGCAAGUCGAGGGGCAGCAUGACCUAGCAAUAGGUUGAUGGCGACCGGCGCACGGGUGAGUAACACGUAUCCAACCUACCGGUUAUUCCGGGAUAGCCUUUCGAAAGAAAGAUUAAUACCGGAUAGCAUAGCGAGAAGGCAUCUUCUUGUUAUUAAAGAAUUUCGAUGACCGAUGGGGAUGCGUUCCAUUAGUUUGUUGGCGGGGUAACGGCCCACCAAGACAUCGAUGGAUAGGGGUUCUGAGAGGAAGGUCCCCCACAUUGGAACUGAGACACGGUCCAAACUCCUACGGGAGGCAGCAGUGAGGAAUAUUGGUCAAUGGACGAGAGUCUGAACCAGCCAAGUAGCGUGAAGGAUGACUGCCCUAUGGGUUGUAAACUUCUUUUAUAUGGGAAUAAAGUGAGCCACGUGUGGCUUUUUGUAUGUACCAUACGAAUAAGGAUCGGCUAACUCCGUGCCAGCCGCUGC
Molecule: ribosomal RNA, 516 nt
Filed under: uncultured bacterium
Lineage: Bacteria
Description: bacterial SSU rRNA
Rfam family: Bacterial small subunit ribosomal RNA
Source: RNAcentral